This 784-nucleotide long non-coding RNA is filed under the name Zonotrichia albicollis (white-throated sparrow). Its description in RNAcentral is "lncRNA (ENSZALG00000016891.1)". Lineage: Eukaryota; Metazoa; Chordata; Aves; Passeriformes; Passerellidae. The record is from RNAcentral.
GAAACACAACAUGCUUUGACAGAAUUCAGAGGACUUUGGAGGACUUUGUCUGGAAACAAAAACUUGUGGAUUUGAAAUGUGUUACUGUAGUCCUCCUCUGACAUUACAACCUGAAUGCCUGUUGGCCCUGCUCUGCAAGGCUGAGGCUGCCUUCCACCUUUGACAUUUUGCCAUGAUCUUCCUCCUUGAAGGGAGUGCUGUAAAUGGGGAAUCCCUCAAAAUGAUCUGUCCUCAGAAUUCUCAUUUAAAUGUACUAGGUACUAAUUACUUUAACUUCAAGGAAAAGAGAAGAUUACCUCCUGUAAACUUUCUCAUACAAAAUAAUCUGUCCUCCUGUGAUGCUGGUUACUUGAAAAUGUCUGUUUGCUUGAGAAAAGGUUUGUCAAAUCAGAAUAAAAUUACUCCUGCACUUCCUCAGCUCUCUCUGUCCCAUCAUAUCUGAAUGCAGCAUUUUGCAAAAAAAAUCCCAAGUGAAGUUGCAACACGUGGAUCUCACAAGAGGAUGCUCUGGAAGGUGCCACACUGUUUUACAGAGCCUUGUGGUGAUGUGAAGCUGUUUGUAGACACGGGCUGGGUGCUAGAGGUGCUUGGGGUGCACUUCUCCCCCAGCUCGACUCGUUGGUUAGAAAAGAAAAGCAUUGUGGUUGUACUUGAAGGAAGAAUUCAGGAGAGGAUUCAGGGAUCUCCUGCCAGGCCUGCAGUGUGUGCUAGAAGUGCUUUGAGAGGACUGAUCCAUAGCCUGGGCUUGGCUUACAGGUUCUACAGUGACACAAAUGGCACAUGA